CCGAGUUUACAACUCCCAAACCCCUGUGAACAUACCUUUAUGUUGCCUCGGCGGAUCAGCCCGCGCCCCGUAAAACGGGACGGCCCGCCGCAGGAAACCCUAAACUCUGUUUUUAGUGGAACUUCUGAGUAUAAAAAACAAAUAAAUCG
This 149-nucleotide unclassified non-coding RNA is filed under the name soil metagenome. Its description in RNAcentral is "partial internal transcribed spacer 1". The record is from RNAcentral.